Molecule: long non-coding RNA, 346 nt
Filed under: Olea europaea subsp. europaea
Lineage: Eukaryota; Viridiplantae; Streptophyta; Magnoliopsida; Lamiales; Oleaceae
Source: RNAcentral
CAUGAUCCUAAUCACAUGGUGAAUUACCAAACUUUAGAGGUACAAAAGGACCUGUCUUACGAAGAAACACCAAUGACGAUUUUAGACAGGAAAGUGCAUCAACUCAGGAAUAGAGAAGUUCCACUGGUCAAGGUGCUAUGGCGUAAUCAUGGACUGGAUGAGUAAACAUGGGAGAAGGAAGAUGAGCUUAAAGUCAAAUAUCCAGAACUCUUCGAUUAGUUAAGGUAAAUUUUCGAGGACGAAAAUAUUUUAAGUAGGGGAGAUUGUAAAGCCCUGAAAAAAUUUUAUAGAAUAGAAUUAAUUGUUUUAAAUUCUCAUUUCUUUGAGUCAAAUAAUUAGAUUUAAU